This is a long non-coding RNA of Setaria italica (foxtail millet), 1041 nucleotides long. RefSeq lists it as uncharacterized. The transcript has 5 exons. The record is from RefSeq and is a predicted model, not a curated record. Lineage: Eukaryota; Viridiplantae; Streptophyta; Magnoliopsida; Poales; Poaceae.
AACUUAACCUAGGAGCCUAGUAGGCAGGCCAAGUAGGCAACAACCAAACAACCUACAAGCGCCGACGAGCCGCGGAGCCUCCGUGCGGGAGGUUCAUCUCUCCCAGUCUCUGCUGGUGCCGGAUCCUCCAACCGCGGACCGCCGUCCCUCUCCACUCUCCGUCUAGUUGAUUGGAGUUUCGUUUCAUCCCAAAGGCGCGCGGAUUGGUUUCUUCCCUUUCGCUGGUAUUAAUCCCAUGUCAGCACUCAUGAUAUGCUCCUUGCCACAAAUUGUGGCAGCACCUACUGCAACUACACUAUUCGCAGGGGGGAGACGUAAUGAGCUACAGUGUUCCCAAAUUCAGGGUCCCCGAGUCAAUACCAUUUCGGUUACUGGAAAAGUUUCUGCUAGAACAACAUCGUGUGGUGUAAGAUGUUACGCAACUCAAACCCAAAACGUACUGAGGAAAUCUUCUACUGCAACUAUCAAGCGAGCUGAUCCCAAAGGGAUGGUGAACAGGCCUAAACUUGAUGAUGGCAAUGGGGGUUUUCCUCCAUUCCGCUUUGGUAAAGGCGGGGGAGGAGGAGGUGGUGGGGGAGGUGGCAGCAACUAUUUUGGUGGUUUUUUCGUAUUUGCCUGUGUAUUGCUUCUGGAUUACCUGAAGGAAGCCGAGAAAAACCUACUCCGACAAGGCCAUGGUUCAGGAGAUCAAGCAAGCAUUGGGCUGGCGCAAUAACCAUUUUCGUUUCAGUUAGCAUUAAUUGAUUGUGUUUGCUGUAAACUUGAGCUCGUUCAAUGCAGAUGUGACAGUUGACCCCGAGCAUAUUGAUGUAUCACUCUCGUGAAAGAGUGGUUAUCAUAUGCUUAAGAUUCAGUAGAUAGAGGUCAUGUCGCUCGAUAUCAAAUCAAUAGAAAACCUACAAAUAAACACUUUUAACUUGUACUUGGCCAGCUCAAACGGUGGCUAGCCACCCCCCUCUAUUCUAGCCACAAGAACAUGCAUCUUAAUGGUCUGUUGGACUACCUGCAGGCUGUUUGUUAAAGCGACCUAUGGUAUUGAUU